This 435-nucleotide ribosomal RNA is filed under the name uncultured Roseburia sp. Its description in RNAcentral is "bacterial SSU rRNA". It matches the Rfam family "Bacterial small subunit ribosomal RNA", at positions 341 to 792 of the family's 1533-position model. The record is from RNAcentral. Lineage: Bacteria; Bacillati; Bacillota; Clostridia; Lachnospirales; Lachnospiraceae.
ACGGAAGGCAGCAGUGGGGAAUAUUGCACAAUGGGCGAAAGCCUGAUGCAGCGACGCCGCGUGAGUGAAGAAGUAUUUCGGUAUGUAAAGCUCUAUCAGCAGGGAGGAAAAAUGACGGUACCUGACUAAGAAGCACCGGCUAAAUACGUGCCAGCAGCCGCGGUAAUACGUAUGGUGCAAGCGUUAUCCGGAUUUACUGGGUGUAAAGGGAGCGCAGGCGGUACGGCAAGUCUGAUGUGAAAGCCCGGGGCUCAACCCCGGUACUGCGUUGGAAACUGUCGAACUAGAGUGUCGGAGGGGUAAGCGGAAUUCCCAGUGUAGCGGUGAAAUGCGUAGAGAUUGGGAGGAACACCAGUGGCGAAGGCGACUUACUGGGCUGUAACUGACGCUGAGGCGCGAAAGCGUGGGGAGCAAACAGGAUUAGAUACCCUGGUA